GACGAACGCUGGCGGCACGCCUAACACAUGCAAGUCGAGCGGGAUCUUGUGGAACGAAUCUUCGGAAGAGUGAAGCAAGUGAGAGCGGCGGACGGGUGAGUAACGCGUGAGUAACCUGCCCUAUACAGGGGGAUAGCCACUGGAAACGGUGAUUAAUACCCCAUAAGACCCCAGCGCCGCAUGGCGCAGUGGUAAAAACUGAGGUGGUAUAGGAUGGACUCGCGUCUGAUUAGCUAGUUGGUGAGGUAACGGCUCACCAAGGCGACGAUCAGUAACCGGCCUGAGAGGGUGAACGGUCACACUGGAACUGAGACACGGUCCAGACUCCUACGGGAGGCUG
RNAcentral lists this ribosomal RNA (340 nucleotides) under uncultured Bacillota bacterium. Its description in RNAcentral is "bacterial SSU rRNA". It matches the Rfam family "Bacterial small subunit ribosomal RNA", at positions 28 to 351 of the family's 1533-position model. The record is from RNAcentral. Lineage: Bacteria; Bacillati; Bacillota.